Molecule: small RNA, 118 nt
Filed under: Nocardioides sp. Root190
Lineage: Bacteria; Bacillati; Actinomycetota; Actinomycetes; Propionibacteriales; Nocardioidaceae
Description: Actinobacteria sRNA Ms_IGR-7
Rfam family: Actinobacteria sRNA Ms_IGR-7
Source: Rfam by way of RNAcentral
CAGAGAUGUCCCUUGUGUUCGGUCGAAUCGUUCCGUGAAGAAGUCCGAUUCUCCCGCUACACAAGGGCAUUCUCGUUCUACGGCACGCUCACCCGACCAAGUUCAUCGGUGGAUCCGG